AUGUGUGUUCCGAAAGAAAGAGGUGGGAUGGGUUUCCGUGAUAUACACAGUUUUAAUUUGGUGCUACUGGCCAAGUAGUGUUGGAGACUCAUUGAGCAUCAUGACUCGCUAUGUGCGAGGGUUUUGCGUGCCAAAUAUUAUCCUAGUUGUGAAUUGCUUAACUGCAGUUUGAAGAAAGGUUCUUCUUAUGUGUGGCAGAGCAUUUGUGCGGGAAUCCAGACUUUC
RNAcentral lists this ribosomal RNA (225 nucleotides) under Triticum aestivum (bread wheat). RNAcentral's name for it is "partial small subunit ribosomal RNA". The record is from RNAcentral. Lineage: Eukaryota; Viridiplantae; Streptophyta; Magnoliopsida; Poales; Poaceae.